AGCUCCAAUAGCGUAUAUUAAAGUUGUUGCAGUUAAAAAGCUCGUAGUUGGAUCUCGGGUUCGGACUGGCGGUCCUACUCACGUAGGUACUGCUUGUUCCGACCUCCCUGCCGGUUUUUCCCUUGGUGCUCUUCGCUGAGUGCCUUGGGUGGCCGGAACGUUUACUUUGAAAAAAUUAGAGUGUUCAAGGCAGGCGUCUCGCCUGAAUAUUGUUGCAUGGAAUAAUGGAAUAGGACCUCGGUUCUAUUUUGUUGGUUUUCGGAACUUGAGGUAAUGAUUAAGAGGGACAGACGGGGGCAUUAGUAUUACGGUGUUAGAGGUGAAAUUCAUGGAUCGCCGUAAGACUAACUACUGCGAAAGCAUUUGCCAAGAAUGUUUUCA
RNAcentral lists this ribosomal RNA (381 nucleotides) under marine Metazoa environmental sample. RNAcentral's name for it is "SSU rRNA". It matches the Rfam family "Eukaryotic small subunit ribosomal RNA", at positions 587 to 972 of the family's 1831-position model. Lineage: Eukaryota; Metazoa. The record is from RNAcentral.